GAAGGUAUAGCUCAGUGGCAGAGCACAUGCUUAGCAUGCACAAUGUCCUGGAUUCAAUCCCUAGUACCUCCA
RNAcentral lists this transfer RNA (72 nucleotides) under Camelus bactrianus (Bactrian camel). It matches the Rfam family "tRNA". Rfam says of the family: Transfer RNA (tRNA) molecules are approximately 80 nucleotides in length. RNAcentral also lists the same sequence under 2 other names. Lineage: Eukaryota; Metazoa; Chordata; Mammalia; Artiodactyla; Camelidae. The record is from Rfam by way of RNAcentral.